UGGGGAAUAUUGGACAAUGGGCGCAAGCCUGAUCCAGCCAUGCCGCGUGAGUGAUGAAGGCCCUAGGGUUGUAAAGCUCUUUCACCGGUGAAGAUAAUGACGGUAACCGUAUAAGAAGCCCCGGCUAACUUCGUGCCAGCAGCCGCGGUAAUACGAAGGGGGCUAGCGUUGUUCGGAUUUACUGGGCGUAAAGCGCACGUAGGCGGACUAUUAAGUCAGGGGUGAAAUCCCGGGGCUCAACCCCGGAACUGCCUUUGAUACUGGUAGUCUUGAGUUCGAGAGAGGUGAGUGGAAUUCCGAGUGUAGAGGUGAAAUUCGUAGAUAUUCGGAGGAACACCAGUGGCGAAGGCGGCUCACUGGCUCGAUACUGACGCUGAGGUGCGAAAGCGUGGGGAGCAAACGGG
RNAcentral lists this ribosomal RNA (404 nucleotides) under Actinomycetes bacterium. RNAcentral's name for it is "Actinobacteria bacterium partial 16S ribosomal RNA". It matches the Rfam family "Bacterial small subunit ribosomal RNA", at positions 355 to 776 of the family's 1533-position model. The record is from RNAcentral. Lineage: Bacteria; Bacillati; Actinomycetota; Actinomycetes.